UACGGGGGGUGCGAGCGUUGUCCGGAUUCACUGGGCGUAAAGGGCGCGUAGGUGGCUGGCUCAGUCGGGCCUGUAAGUGCGGGGCUCAACCCCGUGAUGGGCUCGGGACGGGCUGGCUGGGGCGCGGUCGAGGGAGACGGAAUGCCGGGUGUAGUGGUGAAAUGCGUAGAGAUCCGGCGGAACACCGGUGGUGAAGACGGUCUCCUGGGCCGAGGGCCGACGCUGAGGCGCGAGAGCGUGGGGAGCGAACCGG
RNAcentral lists this ribosomal RNA (253 nucleotides) under uncultured bacterium. RNAcentral describes it as "partial 16S ribosomal RNA". It matches the Rfam family "Bacterial small subunit ribosomal RNA", at positions 524 to 776 of the family's 1533-position model. The record is from RNAcentral.